GAAGCCAGGAAAGCAAGGGGGAUCAGUGUGCACCGAUCCCUCUUGCUCUCCUGGCUUU
RNAcentral lists this microRNA precursor (58 nucleotides) under Podarcis lilfordi (Lilford's wall lizard). Lineage: Eukaryota; Metazoa; Chordata; Lepidosauria; Squamata; Lacertidae. The record is from RNAcentral.